GCAGCGGGUCCUUCGGGAUGCCGGCGAGCGGCGGACGGGUGAGUAAUGCCUAGGAAUCUGCCUGGUAGUGGGGGAUAACUCGGGGAAACUCGAGCUAAUACCGCAUACGUCCUACGGGAGAAAGCGGGGGAUCUUCGGACCUCGCGCUACCAGAUGAGCCUAGGUCGGAUUAGCUAGUUGGUGAGGUAAAGGCUCACCAAGGCUACGAUCCGUAGCUGGUCUGAGAGGAUGAUCAGCCACACUGGAACUGAGACACGGUCCAGACUCCUACGGGAGGCAGCAGUGGGGAAUAUUGGACAAUGGGCGAAAGCCUGAUCCAGCCAUGCCGCGUGUGUGAAGAAGGUCUUCGGAUUGUAAAGCACUUUAAGUUGGGAGGAAGGGCAGUAAGCUAAUACCUUGCUGUUUUGACGUUACCGACAGAAUAAGCACCGGCUAACUUCGUGCCAGCAGCCGCGGUAAUACGAAGGGUGCAAGCGUUAAUCGGAAUUACUGGGCGUAAAGCGCGCGUAGGUGGUUUGAUAAGUUGGAUGUGAAAGCCCCGGGCUCAACCUGGGGAAUUGCAUCC
This 565-nucleotide ribosomal RNA is filed under the name Stutzerimonas stutzeri. RNAcentral's name for it is "bacterial SSU rRNA". It matches the Rfam family "Bacterial small subunit ribosomal RNA", at positions 66 to 628 of the family's 1533-position model. The record is from RNAcentral. Lineage: Bacteria; Pseudomonadati; Pseudomonadota; Gammaproteobacteria; Pseudomonadales; Pseudomonadaceae.